This 404-nucleotide ribosomal RNA is filed under the name uncultured bacterium. Its description in RNAcentral is "bacterial SSU rRNA". It matches the Rfam family "Bacterial small subunit ribosomal RNA", at positions 355 to 776 of the family's 1533-position model. The record is from RNAcentral.
UGGGGGAUAUUGCACAAUGGGGGGAACCCUGAUGCAGCGACGCCGCGUGAGCGAUGAAGUAUUUCGGUAUGUAAAGCUCUAUCAGCAGGGAAGAAAAUGACGGUACCUGACUAAGAAGCCCCGGCUAACUACGUGCCAGCAGCCGCGGUAAUACGUAGGGGGCAAGCGUUAUCCGGAUUUACUGGGUGUAAAGGGAGCGUAGACGGCUGUGCAAGUCUGAAGUGAAAGGCAAGGGCUCAACCUUUGGACUGCUUUGGAAACUGUGCAGCUAGAGUGUCGGAGAGGCAAGUGGAAUUCCUAGUGUAGCGGUGAAAUGCGUAGAUAUUAGGAGGAACACCAGUGGCGAAGGCGGCUUGCUGGACGAUGACUGACGUUGAGGCUCGAAAGCGUGGGGAGCAAACAGG